AUUUCAUUGUCAUCAUGACAAUAAGUCUGUUUUUGGCUCUGAUCAAAUGAAGAACUUGUGUAAUGAAUGCUUCUUUUUUUCCUCUCUUAAGAACCGAUUAUGUAAAUGCUGUCUGAUUCCACUUACACGAGGCAUGAAGAGCAGCAAAAUCAUAAAGACAGAAGGUGGGACGGAGGUGCCCGGACGGGGGAGGAGGGCUCACAUAAGGGUGCCGCUGGGACCCCCACAGAGCCCAGCCUGCAGAGUCGGAAGGAGGAGAAUGCCCUGUGAACUCCUGUCCUUCGGCUUCCUUGCUCCUGGUUCCAGAGGCCUCUCCUGGGCGGGUAGAGCUGCCUUACUGUAUCCCGAGCCCAUCGCUUUGCAGAAACCUUUCCAGGUCUGGCCGUUUGGAGGGGAAAUCAGCUGAUUCUUCCCGUGAGGCACGGAGGACCAAAUGGGAGAAGACAGUCGCUCUGUCCAAAGAGGACGAUCAGGAGCCCCGAAAGGGCUAAACAGAUGUCAUCGAGCCCUGCCUCAGAAGUGCAAGAGGGGCUGGACCCCCGCCCAGCGUGGACACGUGGCUCCAGGGCUCCUCCUGCACAGCAUGCAGCCUCCCCUUCAGGAGAACCGUGUCUCCAAAGCCGAGCUACCGUCAAGAGAUGGCCAGACUUCGUUAUGUCCUUAUGUGCCUGCUCAUCUGACUUCCAGACCUUUUGUGUUCCUCGGACUGAUCUGGCCCACGUCCGCACUGUGGGUCUGGGGCCCCUUUCCUCUGGAAGCCCCAUGUGGGGGACCCCAGGUACUGUCAAAUCAAGCUCUGUGGGGUUGCCCACAAGCUUGCUUCCUCAGCACUCCCUCAGAAGCUACUACUAUUUGGGUCCUUAUCACCCUUUGCCUGGACUGUCCCCCAAAUGGCAUCAAUAUCUUCCCACUGCUCAGUUCUCUCUAGUUUAUCUGAUAAAAUAUACACAGUACAGCUAUGAUCACGUCAUUCCCUUCUCAAAACAUCACUGACUUCCAAUCCCUUUUAAAUAUAAAUAUAACCCGACUCCAAAGUUGUUCUCAGGGGCUUUAGCCACCUUUUGAACUUAUGUUUUCUCUACUUCCCUUUAACUAUUGUGCACUUCGUUAAACAGAGCUAUUUACACAGCUACGUACGUCUCCCACAUUUUCCCUCCUUGGGAAGACUCUAUCUAUUCUUCAAAGGCCAGGUCACGUCCUUCCCUCACGAAGCCUUCACUGGCCCUGUCCCGCAUCACCUGGCACUUUCCAUCUUGCAUGCAUGGCACCUGGGGACCGGUCUCUUCGACAUCACGUUGGGUUCCCUGCACCCAGCACGGUGGCUUGUGGGGUUGGCACCUGCAAGCUGGGCUAAAUGGGUUGUUUCUUUUACUUUGGUCUCAUUUACUGUUUUGGGAGAACAAUGGGUCUGCUUAAUUAGUCUAUACUGCUACAUUUUAGAUGUCCAGCUUCCAAGCGAGGGUAUUAAGUCAAUCACUUAUGUCUUGAUGACAGAGCUACGCCUCAGCGGCCUCUCAGCUGAGCAGUAUCCAGCAUCUAAAAGCAGGAACAGAUGCUUAGGCUGGGCUGCCAUGGAGACGAAUGUUCUCUGAUCCUCUCUGUGAAGAAUGACUUCAGGGUUGCUGGUUAUAGAAAUGAAUGUUUUUAGUCAACAGUGCAUCUCAGCCUCCAACAUAAGAAAACCCUAUUUCCAGUGCCAUGCCCGUCUGAAGCACCAAUUGGUUUUGCUUCCAAAAUCAGUUGUGUUGCCACCAAAUUAAAUCGGCUGUGAAAUAAUGGUAUCUGCCAACAUGUGGGCUUUUGGUUAAUUAUUAUCUUUUUAUAAAAGACCUAUGCUUUAAUUGAUACAUUUUCUUUUACUUAAGCCAUUAAUGAUGUGCUAUUCUGGCCUUGUCAUCAGGUAGCUCUGCAAAUAGUGUAUUUUUGGAAUGAUAAUAAAUGGCAUUUGAAAAGUGUUAA
Non-coding RNA from Leptonychotes weddellii (Weddell seal), 1959 nucleotides. Lineage: Eukaryota; Metazoa; Chordata; Mammalia; Carnivora; Phocidae. The record is from RefSeq and is a predicted model, not a curated record.